UCGAGAAUCUUCGGCAAUGGGCGCAAGCCUGACCGAGCGACGCCGCGUGCGGGAUGAAGGCCUUCGGGUUGUAAACCGCUGUCGGAGGGGAGGAAAUGCUGUGAGGUACUCCUCACGGUUUGACCUAGCCUCAAAGGAAGGACGGGCUAAGUUCGUGCCAGCAGCCGCGGUAAGACGAACCGUCCAAACGUUAUUCGGAAUCACUGGGCUUAAAGGGUGCGUAGGCGGCGCUGAAAGUUGGGUGUGAAAUCCCUCGGCUCAACCGAGGAACUGCGCCCAAAACUACAGUGCUCGAGGGAGACAGAGGUGAGCGGAACUUGCGGUGGAGCGGUGAAAUGCGUUGAUAUCGCAAGGAACACCAGUGGCGUAAGCGGCUCACUGGGUCUCUUCUGACGCUGAGGCACGAAAGCUAGGGGAGCGAACG
This 424-nucleotide ribosomal RNA is filed under the name uncultured prokaryote. Its description in RNAcentral is "bacterial SSU rRNA". It matches the Rfam family "Bacterial small subunit ribosomal RNA", at positions 355 to 774 of the family's 1533-position model. The record is from RNAcentral.